UUAUUUGUGAUGUGAGUAGCAGUCCAGUCAUCCUUGUUCCACAUCUAAUAUCCUCCUAUGAGUGAAUGAAGGCAUCUAGCUAAGGAAUCUGAAGACCACUAGACAAAUGAGACAUCUUGAGAAAGAGGACAAAUCAUCUAGAAAAAUUGUCCCAGGAAAGAUUUUCUACAGUGAACAAUGACCACUCCUAAUGCAAUCUCUGAAGUCUCCAAAAAGAUGAUGGGACCCCACCAUGAUGAUUCCACCAGGAUGAUGAUAAUACCACUAAGCUGAUAAACACCACUCAAAGAUUGGCUUUGGACUACAAACUGUUCAGGACAAUUUCGAGAUGGCUAGCUGAGGUGAUCCAGCCUCACAGAUUACACAAGCAAGGACUUGAGACAAUUCCUGCAUCUUCCCCUUAUGCAGAGACUAGACAAUAAGUGAUAAGCUACCUCUCCCAUGAUUGACAGUUAGCCCACAAUUUUUCUUUUCAGGAUCCCCUAAAGAUGCCUUCACCUUCAGACAUCAGGAAGUAAUUUUAAGAACACGAUGCUCACAUUCCCAAGAGGUUCUUUGAAUGAACAUGGUUAAGUUACUAUUGACUGUGGCAUCUCCAAUUUACCAAUUUACUACACUGAAGAAAAUGACUUCUCCUCUACAAGCAACCAUUUAAGGCUAAUUGAUUGCUUCUCAAAGAAAUGUGAAGACUUGUAAGACCCUCUUCUCUCCAGAAGGGAACACUGAACAGUUCCAUUUUCUACAGGGCAUAUUGACAUUUGAGGAUGUGGCCAUCGACUUCUCUCAGGAGGCAUGGGAAUGUCUGGACUCUACACAGUGGGCUUUGUACAGGGAUAUGAUAUUGGAGAACUACAGCAACCUGGUCUCUGUGGGUCUCACAAUAACAAAACCAGAGCUGAUCAACUCUCUUGAACAAAGCAAAGAGCCCUGGAAGGUGACACUGAAG
Non-coding RNA from Peromyscus maniculatus bairdii (prairie deer mouse), 946 nucleotides. Lineage: Eukaryota; Metazoa; Chordata; Mammalia; Rodentia; Cricetidae. The record is from RefSeq and is a predicted model, not a curated record.